RNAcentral lists this small RNA (432 nucleotides) under Arabidopsis thaliana (thale cress). Its description in RNAcentral is "ATSL258210". Lineage: Eukaryota; Viridiplantae; Streptophyta; Magnoliopsida; Brassicales; Brassicaceae. The record is from RNAcentral.
AACACACAUAUACGGAGUUUAUUAUUUCUUUCUUUAGUUUUCUAUCUGUAAUCUGUGUGACCGGAGCAUUGUACAUAAACACACGUUACUAUCCUAUUAUAUUAUUUGGGAAGUACAUUUUAAAUGUAACCUUAAUUUUUGUAAUUAAUUACGUGAUAAUGCCAUUAGAAAAAUUUAAUCAAAAACAAAAUCCUUUAAUAACGUCAUUAAAGUUACCAAAAUCAUUUAAUGAUAAUAUUCAUCUCUUAAUUAUAGGCAUUAUUGGAUCUAAAGACGGGUCAUCAAAGAUUUUCUAAACUGAAGCAAAAUAUACUGAAUAUUCAAUUAUUUAUCUGUUACCAAAUUAUAAACAAAUAAGUUCGUAAAACAAUUUAAAAUUUUAUAUACGAAAUCAAUUAAAUCUUAAUCACAUAAAAAUUAGCACAAAAAAAA